UAUAAAAAAACUAUUUAUUUUUAUUAUUAAAAACUGACAUAACGAUGGAAUAAUCAGACAAUUACAUGUGAUGUGCCAAGUGUACCUCGUAUUAACUUAUAGUGACUACUUUUUAACAGUAAAAAAUGAAUGAAAUUUUUUAACA
Molecule: non-coding RNA, 145 nt
Organism: Gossypium hirsutum (cotton)
Lineage: Eukaryota; Viridiplantae; Streptophyta; Magnoliopsida; Malvales; Malvaceae
Source: Rfam